Molecule: long non-coding RNA, 243 nt
Filed under: Elaeis guineensis (African oil palm)
Lineage: Eukaryota; Viridiplantae; Streptophyta; Magnoliopsida; Arecales; Arecaceae
Description: long non-coding RNA (EGUI_LNC063938)
Source: RNAcentral
CGAGGAGGUGAAUAUCUUUUCAAUGAAUUUUUGACAUAUCUAGGAGAGAAUGAGAUUCUCUCCUAGAUAUGAUAAGAGCUAGCAGAGUCCAAUCACCAUCAAUCUAUCUCCUCUCUGUGUCUAGCCGACAACAUCAGAAGAUCAUCUGAUACAUCACUCUCAGCCACCGCACUAGAUGACUCUAGUCUGAAACCUUCUCCCUUUUCUUUCUUCUUUUAUGGAUAAUCUCUCUUCAUGUACCCU